Molecule: ribosomal RNA, 376 nt
Filed under: uncultured bacterium
Lineage: Bacteria
Description: partial 16S ribosomal RNA
Rfam family: Bacterial small subunit ribosomal RNA
Source: RNAcentral
GACGAACGCUGGCGGCGUGCUUAACACAUGCAAGUCGAACGAUGAAGCCCUUUCGGGGGUGGAUUAGUGGCGAACGGGUGAGUAACACGUGGGUAACCUGCCCUGUACCCUGGGAUAAGCCUUGGAAACGAGGUCUAAUACCGGAUAUGACCUGCUCUCGCAGUGGGGGGUGGGUGGAAAGUUUUGGCGGUGCAGGAUGGACCCGCGGCCUAUCAGCUUGUUGGUGGGGUGAUGGCCUACCAAGGCGACGACGGGUAGCCGGCCUGAGAGGGCGACCGGCCACACUGGGACUGAGACACGGCCCAGACUCCUACGGGAGGCAGCGAGGUGGGGAAUUAGUUGCACAAUGGGACGAAAGCCUGAUGCAGCGACGCCG